CCCAGUUUGGUUUUGCAAUGAGUGAUACUCAAGAAAGUGUACAUAUUGGAGUAGAUAUUCACCAAUUGGAACCGUUGUCUGGGACACAGACAUGGUUAUAAAGACUACUAUAUUUGGAGAAAAGUGGGCGGAGAUAUUUUGUAAAACUGUUGGUUUUUUUUGUGGGUCUGUUUCAGUAUUUGGCUAUGGCGUGGAAGGGGAGUUGGUCUCAUAAAUAUUCUGCAUGUAUCAACUUCCCCAUGUUUAUUUGGUCAACCAAGAAGAUUGCUUUGAAAAUCCAAUUGAUGAAGAUGCAUCGGGCCUUGCUGUUGAUGUUUUUGUGUAUAGACGUCUACUUGUUUUUGUGUAUAGACGUGUUGAUGUUUUUGUGUAUAGACGUACAUAGCUUGGUUGCAGUUUUUGGUCAACAUGAAUGUAUGUAGUAAAGGUUUCUAGGAUUGGAUGUUAGGUUUGGAG
Carya illinoinensis is the source of this 456-nucleotide long non-coding RNA. RefSeq lists it as uncharacterized. The transcript is spliced from 3 exons. Lineage: Eukaryota; Viridiplantae; Streptophyta; Magnoliopsida; Fagales; Juglandaceae. The record is from RefSeq and is a predicted model, not a curated record.